Molecule: ribosomal RNA, 429 nt
Filed under: Verrucomicrobiota bacterium
Lineage: Bacteria; Pseudomonadati; Verrucomicrobiota
Description: Verrucomicrobia bacterium partial 16S ribosomal RNA
Rfam family: Bacterial small subunit ribosomal RNA
Source: RNAcentral
UAGGGAAUCUUCCGCAAUGGACGAAAGUCUGACGGAGCAACGCCGCGUGAGUGAAGAAGGAUUUCGGUUCGUAAAACUCUGUUGUUAUGGAAGAAAAAAUGUAUAGUAACUAUAUACAAAAGAGACGGUACCUAACCAGAAAGCCACGGCUAACUACGUGCCAGCAGCCGCGGUAAUACGUAGGUGGCAAGCGUUGUCCGGAAUUAUUGGGCGUAAAGCGCGCGCAGGUGGUUUAGAAAGUCUGAUGUGAAAGCCCACGGCUCAACCGUGGAGGGUCAUUGGAAACUAAUAAACUUGAGUGCAGGAGAGAAAAGUGGAAUUCCUAGUGUAGCGGUGAAAUGCGUAGAGAUUAGGAGGAACACCGGUGGCGAAAGCGGCUUUUUGGCCUGCAACUGACACUGAGGCGCGAAAGCGUGGGGAGCAAACAGG